CCUACGGGUGGCAGCAGUGGGGAAUAUUGCACAAUGGGGGAAACCCUGAUGCAGCGACGCCGCGUGAGUGAAGAAGUAUUUCGGUAUGUAAAGCUCUAUCAGCAGGGAAGAAAAUGACGGUACCUGACUAAGAAGCCCCGGCUACCUACGUGCCAGCAGCCGCGGUAAUACGUAGGGGGCAAGCGUGAUCCGGAUUUACUGUGUGUAAAGGGAGCGUAGACGGCAGAGCAAGUCUGAAGUCAAAGCCCGCGGCCCAACUGCGGGACUGCUUUGGAAACCGCCCCGGUAGAGUGCUGGAGAGGUAAGCGGAGUUCCUAGUGUAGCGGUGAAAUGCGUAGAUAUGAGGAGGAACACCAGU
This 358-nucleotide ribosomal RNA is filed under the name uncultured bacterium. RNAcentral's name for it is "partial 16S ribosomal RNA". It matches the Rfam family "Bacterial small subunit ribosomal RNA", at positions 338 to 713 of the family's 1533-position model. The record is from RNAcentral.